This 250-nucleotide ribosomal RNA is filed under the name uncultured bacterium. RNAcentral's name for it is "partial 16S ribosomal RNA". It matches the Rfam family "Bacterial small subunit ribosomal RNA", at positions 524 to 773 of the family's 1533-position model. The record is from RNAcentral.
UACAGGGGGUGCAAGCGUUGCUCGGAAUUACUGGGCGUAAAGCGUGCGCAGGCGGUUUGUCAAGUCGGGGGUGAAAACCCGGGGCUCAACCCCGGAAUUGCCUCCGAAACUGGCAGACUUGAGUACGAGAGAGGGUCGCGGAAUUCUUGGUGUAGAGGUGAAAUUCGUAGAUAUCAGGAAGAACACCAGUGGCGAAAGCGGCGACCUGGCUCGAUACUGACGCUCAUGCACGAAAGCGUGGGGAGCAAAC